UGGGGAAUAUUGCACAAUGGGCGCAAGCCUGAUGCAGCGACGCCGCGUGAGCGAAGAAGGCCUUCGGGUCGUAAAGCUCUUUUAUAUGGGAAGAUAAUGACGGUACCAUAAGAAAAAGCCCCGGCUAACUACGUGCCAGCAGCCGCGGUAAUACGUAGGGGGCUAGCGUUGUCCGGAAUCACUGGGCGUAAAGGGUUCGCAGGCGGAAAUGCAAGUCAGGUGUAAAAGGCAGUAGCUUAACUACUGUAAGCAUUUGAAACUGCAUAUCUUGAGAAGAGUAGAGGUAAGUGGAAUUUUUAGUGUAGCGGUGAAAUGCGUAGAUAUUAAAAAGAAUACCGGUGGCGAAGGCGACUUACUGGGCUCAUUCUGACGCUGAGGAACGAAAGCGUGGGUAGCAAACAGG
RNAcentral lists this ribosomal RNA (403 nucleotides) under Verrucomicrobiota bacterium. RNAcentral's name for it is "Verrucomicrobia bacterium partial 16S ribosomal RNA". It matches the Rfam family "Bacterial small subunit ribosomal RNA", at positions 355 to 776 of the family's 1533-position model. The record is from RNAcentral. Lineage: Bacteria; Pseudomonadati; Verrucomicrobiota.